RNAcentral lists this non-coding RNA (81 nucleotides) under Nitrospinota bacterium. RNAcentral describes it as "Nitrospira bacterium c-di-GMP sequence". It matches the Rfam family "c-di-GMP-I-GGC riboswitch aptamer". Lineage: Bacteria; Pseudomonadati; Nitrospinota. The record is from RNAcentral.
CCCGAAAAGGCCAAAUCCCGGGUAACCGGGAGGCGGAAAGCGGCGGGUCUUUGGAUGCAGAAGACGGCCGAGCUGCCGGAG